RNAcentral lists this ribosomal RNA (309 nucleotides) under Triticum aestivum (bread wheat). Its description in RNAcentral is "partial small subunit ribosomal RNA". Lineage: Eukaryota; Viridiplantae; Streptophyta; Magnoliopsida; Poales; Poaceae. The record is from RNAcentral.
AUGGAAAGGGUGCCUUUCACAAAAAGAGCUCUGAAAAAUUUGUGUGGUAAAAUCAGUAGAGAGCAGUCAGAGGAUGAUGUGAGGAAGACCAUGGAGGUGUUCGCAGAUCUGGGCUCAAGAAAUCCUCACUUCACCUAUCGUGUACAGGCAGACCAGGAUGGUUGGAUAACAACUCUUAUGUGGGCAAAUGGGAGCAGCAGGUUGCAGCACACAUUCUUUGGAGAUGUUGUCACCUUCGAUACGACAUACGGAACAGACCUGUACAACAUGCCAUUUGGUCUGUUUGUGGGUGUGAAUAAUCAUUUUUAG